This is a non-coding RNA of Mycena leptocephala, 101 nucleotides long. NCBI's taxonomy places the organism in Eukaryota, Fungi, Basidiomycota, Agaricomycetes, Agaricales, Mycenaceae. The record is from the annotation of a GenBank genome assembly.
GACUGGAACGCAGUGGUUGCGUGGGGUGCAUCUGCCUUCAGUGUUGAGCUCAUCACGGGAAAUUACAGCAGAUAGACCUGGUUCGAUUCCAGGUUGGGUCA